AUCGGAUUGAUACUAAGCCAUGCGAGUCAUUGUAGCAAUACAAGGCAGACGGCUCAGUAACGCGUAGUCAAUCUACCCUAUGGACGGGAAUAACCUCGGGAAACUGAGAAUAAUGCCCGAUAGAACAUUAUGCCUGGAAUGGUUUAUGUUUCAAAUGAUUUAUCGCCAUAGGAUGGGACUGCGGCCUAUCAGUUUGUUGGUGAGGUUAAUGGCCCACCAAGACUAUUACAGGUACGAGCUCUGAGAGGAGUAGCCCGGAGAUGGGUACUGAGACACGGACCCAGGCCCUAUGGGGCGCAGCAGGCGAGAAAACUUUGCAAUGUGCGAAAGCACGACAAGGUUAAUCCGAGUGGUUUCUGCUAAAGAAACCUUUUGUCAGUCCUAGAAACACUGAUGAAUAAGGGGUGGGCAAGUUCUGGUGUCAGCCGCCGCGGUAAAACCAGCACCUCAAGUGGUCAGGAUGAUUAUUGGGCCUAAAGCAUCCGUAGCUCGUUUUGUAAGUUUUCGGUUAAAUCCAUGCGCUUAACGUAUGGGCUGCCGGGAAUACUGCAUAACUAGGAAGUGGGAGAGGUAGACGGUACUCGGUAGGAAAGGGGUAAAAUCCUUUGAUCUAUUGAUGACCACCUGUGGCGAAGGCGGUCUACCAGAACACGUUCGACGGUGAGGGAUGAAAGCUGGGGGAGCAAACCGGAUUAGAUACCCGGGUAGUCCCAGCUGUAAACUAUGCAAACUCAGUGAUGCAUUGGCUUGUGGCCAAUGCAGUGCUGCAGGGAAGCCGUUAAGUUUGCCGCCUGGGAAGUACGUACGCAAGUAUGAAACUUAAAGGAAUUGGCGGGGGAGCACCAC
RNAcentral lists this ribosomal RNA (846 nucleotides) under uncultured archaeon. RNAcentral's name for it is "bacterial SSU rRNA". It matches the Rfam family "Archaeal small subunit ribosomal RNA", at positions 32 to 882 of the family's 1478-position model. The record is from RNAcentral.